Molecule: long non-coding RNA, 1321 nt
Organism: Acinonyx jubatus (cheetah)
Lineage: Eukaryota; Metazoa; Chordata; Mammalia; Carnivora; Felidae
Exons: 2
Source: RefSeq, a predicted model, not a curated record
CCUAGGAACAGGCCCGGGUCGCGUCUCUGGUCCCCCAGAGUCCUGUGUGGGAUGGCGUAGCGCGAGGUCCCGAUGCCCUCUAGUGGUUGGUCCCAGUGGAGGACACAACUUCCCACAUCUAUCUACCCUGCCACAGACCUGGCUUGUUGUCCCCUCCAGGCACAGCUGUCUCUCUUUAACUGUUUCAAAUCUUUGCUCACCCCCCCUACCUAUCCUGUGGCAUCCCCCAGCCCACUGCAGUGGACCCCGAGAUGGCAGGGCCCUCUCUCCUCUCUUCCCUCCACAUAUUCUCUCUGCAUAUUGUCUAAAAUCUCCCCUACUUUUUUAGUAAGUUUUUGUUUGUUUGUUUGUUUGUUUAAAGAGAGAGAGAGCAGGGGAGGGGCAGAGAGAGAGGGAGAGAGAAGAUCCCAAGCAAGCUCCAUGUUGUCAGCACAGAGCCCAACAUGAGGUUCGAACACCUGAACCGUGAGGUCAUGACUUGAGCUGAAAUCAAGAGUUGGAUGCCCAACAGACUGAGCCACCCAGGCGCCCCUCCAUCUACUUUAGAGGAAGUGAGUUCCCUUUAAAACUAGCAUGGGGACUCAUUGAGCUUCCCAUCCUUCCUGCUGUGCAGAGCAAUCCGUCUCUGGAAAAUAAAAUGAAAAGCCUGUGUCCAGACCUCCUCCUGCUGUGAGCUUUAUCUGAUUUCCCAUGUGGUGUCCACCACUGGCUUCUCCCACAAGAGCAGGACUUCCACCUCUGCCUCUGCAUCGUUCGUUCUGCCAACCCACCGCGGCCGGGCUCGGCCCGGCCCGGCAACGGUGUCGCAUGCCUCAGUCCAAGCAUUUCCCCUGCUUUUCCUCAACGCAGGUGGCAUCGGACAGUGUUUGCAGCGCUCUGCUUCCUGGACUCGGGCUUUUGUGACUCCAGGGGCCUGUAUGCACACACGCUAACAGUUCCGGGCCCUCUCUACACCUGCAUUCUCUUUCUGGACUAUUUUCCUCAAAUAAGUCAAGGUCCCCAUUCUCACUUAUUACCUCCAUGUGAGUGACCUAAAGAUACAUGAAAUCGCUAACCUCUCAGCAAGGUUCUGUGCCCAUGGCUCCACCAGCCAGGCAGACGCCCAUCCCCUGCAGAUAGUGCUCUGCAGAAACUAAUCCAGCUUGGCGCGGUAGAACAGGGGCCCCUAAUUUGUCAGCGUGGAGAAGCAUGAACAGUGGCUACGUUACACUGUAGGUGACAAAAUGGCUAAUUUUCUAGUAAGUUGUGUACUAUCGCACUGUAUAUUCUGCUAUAGUAAAGCAGGGGCACCUGGGUGGCUCUGUGGGUUGAGUGUCCGACU